This 253-nucleotide ribosomal RNA is filed under the name uncultured bacterium. RNAcentral describes it as "partial 16S ribosomal RNA". It matches the Rfam family "Bacterial small subunit ribosomal RNA", at positions 524 to 776 of the family's 1533-position model. The record is from RNAcentral.
UACGUAGGUGGCAAGCGUUGUCCGGAUUUAUUGGGGUUAAAGGGUGCGUAGGCGGCCCUGUAAGUCAGUGCUGAAAUAUCCCGGCUUAACCGGGAGGGUGGCAUUGAUACUGCAGGGCUUGAGUGAAGUCGAGGUAGGCGGAAUUGACGGUGUAGCGGUGAAAUGCUUAGAUAUCGUCAAGAACACCGAUAGUGAAGACAGCUUACUAGGCUUAUACUGACGCUGAGGCACGAAAGUGUGGGGAUCAAACAGG